UACGGGGGGGGCAAGCGUUGUUCGGAAUUACUGGGCGUAAAGGGCUCGUAGGCGGCCAACUCAGUCGGACGUGAAAUCCCUCGGCUUAACCGAGGAAUGGCGUCCGAUACUGGAUGGCUUGAGUUUGGGAGAGGGAUGCGGAAUUCCAGGUGUAGCGGUGAAAUGCGUAGAUAUCUGGAGGAACACCGGUGGCGAAGGCGGCAUCCUGGACCAAUUCUGACGCUGAGUGAGCGAAAGCCAGGGGAGCAAACGGG
This 254-nucleotide ribosomal RNA is filed under the name uncultured bacterium. RNAcentral describes it as "partial 16S ribosomal RNA". It matches the Rfam family "Bacterial small subunit ribosomal RNA", at positions 524 to 776 of the family's 1533-position model. The record is from RNAcentral.